RNAcentral lists this long non-coding RNA (690 nucleotides) under Gadus morhua (Atlantic cod). RNAcentral describes it as "lncRNA (ENSGMOG00000025630.1)". Lineage: Eukaryota; Metazoa; Chordata; Actinopteri; Gadiformes; Gadidae. The record is from RNAcentral.
AAGCCGGCAUGUGGGCGGUGAGAGGUUUUAUUCUGGUUACAGGACAGGCGUUGACAAAGCCCCGGACAUUCCAGUGAUGGCCACCAGAAGCGCCGUCGCAGGAAGUCCCGGGUCCUCUGAAUGCCGGGAUGGCAGGUGAGCCGGGAAGCAUGGCCCCACUGGAGCACGUCUGAACGGAGGUGUGACGGGACAAACAGGCGGUCAGGUGGACAGGAACUGGGAGCUGGCUGGUCCACAGUGGCGGUUCGUCUCCUGUGUCUCCCAGGGUAUGGAAGCGAUGAGGCAGGAGGCUGGGAUGAUGGUGGAAGGCUUGACCAUCUCAUUGGGACUGUAGAACUUCCCAAGACUCUGACCAGCUGCAAGAGCCAUCAGGAACCGACAGACCAAGGACGGCUUUGACAGAAGAGGCGAAGCAGAGGCUGUCUGAAGAGGUCUGCGACAGCAUCCUGGCUCACACCAAAGCGAGGUUCUCUUUCACUGGCCACCUUGUGAGUGCGACCUUAGUACAAGGGGUGUACGCAGAUAGUACAAUGCACCCUCUCCUUCUGUUUGUGUCAAAACAAUAAAUGCAUCAAAGGGUAAAUGUAGUGUAAAGGGAUACUCUGAUUUCCCCGGUUUUUUUGUUGUUUUUUAACAGCAGACCACCGCAAAAACAUUUAGUUCUCAUGCUCACGAAACGUAAUCUAGUGA